This 241-nucleotide long non-coding RNA is filed under the name Lathyrus oleraceus (garden pea). RNAcentral's name for it is "Pisum sativum (pea) long non-coding RNA (PSAT_LNC016670)". The record is from RNAcentral. Lineage: Eukaryota; Viridiplantae; Streptophyta; Magnoliopsida; Fabales; Fabaceae.
ACAUUGCAUAGCAUAACAUAACAUUGCAUAACAGGUAUUCUAAAGGAUCAAUGUUCUCACGGUCUUCCUUCUAAACAGAACAGAUGGCUCUCGAACAAACUGUCAAAGAUCUCCAGGCUCAGAAUGCUCAAUUCCAGGAGAUGAUCUUGAACUUAUCCAAGGGGCAGGAGGAGCUGAAGGCUCUCUUGCUCGAGAAGAAGAAAGACAAGAAAGUUGUGAGUUACAUUAACCCGGGAAGAAG